This 494-nucleotide ribosomal RNA is filed under the name Gerrhosaurus auritus (Kalahari plated lizard). RNAcentral's name for it is "partial 16S ribosomal RNA". It matches the Rfam family "Bacterial large subunit ribosomal RNA", at positions 1858 to 2604 of the family's 2925-position model. Lineage: Eukaryota; Metazoa; Chordata; Lepidosauria; Squamata; Gerrhosauridae. The record is from RNAcentral.
CCUGCCCAGUGAAAAUUUUUAAACGGCCGCGGUAUCCCAACCGUGCAAAGGUAGCGCAAUCACUUGUCCCCUAAAUAGGGACUAGUAUGAACGGUUUAAUGAGGACCAAUCUGUCUCCUGCAGGAGAUCCGUAAAACUGAACCCCCAGUCCAAAUGCUGGGCUGACCCUAUAAGACGAGAAGACCCUGUGGAGCUUUCAAACAAACUACAUAUUUCCCAUUCUGUAGAAAAGUUUUUAGUUGGGGCGACUCUGGAGACAAAAAAAACCCCCAGGCAUAAAGGAGCACCACUCCUAAACCCCCGGCCAACAAGCCACACACCUGACCCGGUCCCACCGACAAACGAACCAAGUUACCCCAGGGAUAACAGCGCUAUUUUCUUUUAGAGUCCCUAUCAACAAGAAGGUUUACGACCUCGAUGUUGGAUCAGGACACCCAAAUGGUGCAGCCGCUAUUAAUGGUUCGUUUGUUCAACGAUUAACAGUCUUACGUGAU